Pelobates cultripes (western spadefoot toad) is the source of this 66-nucleotide non-coding RNA. NCBI's taxonomy places the organism in Eukaryota, Metazoa, Chordata, Amphibia, Anura, Pelobatidae. The record is from the annotation of a GenBank genome assembly.
ACCGUAUUGGAUUACUUCAAUUUGAAAAUGGAAUCCAAUUUUCAAAUUGAAGUAAUCCAAUAAGGU